This 485-nucleotide ribosomal RNA is filed under the name uncultured bacterium. Its description in RNAcentral is "bacterial SSU rRNA". It matches the Rfam family "Bacterial small subunit ribosomal RNA", at positions 29 to 507 of the family's 1533-position model. The record is from RNAcentral.
AGUGAACGCUGGCGGCAGGCCUAACACAUGCAAGUCGAGCGGCAGCGCGGGGGCGAACCCUGGCGGCGAGCGGCGGACGGGUGAGGAAUGCAUCGGAAUCUACCUCGUUGUGGGGGAUAACCUCGGGAAACCGGGACUAAUACCGCAUACGACCUACGGGUGAAAGUGGGGGACCUUCGGGCCUCACGCGAUGAGAUGAGCCGAUGCCGGAUUAGCUAGUUGGCGGGGUAAAGGCCCACCAAGGCGACGAUCCGUAGCUGGUCUGAGAGGAUGAUCAGCCACACUGGAACUGAGACACGGUCCAGACUCCUACGGGAGGCAGCAGUGGGGAAUAUUGGACAAUGGGCGCAAGCCUGAUCCAGCCAUGCCGCGUGUGUGAAGAAGGCCUUCGGGUUGUAAAGCACUUUUGUUGGGGAAGAAACCGGCCGGAUUAAUACUUCGGCUGAAUGACGGUACCCAAAGAAUAAGCACCGGCUAACUUCGUG